CAGAAGUAUAGUUAGUGCAUAUUUCCAAGUAAUAUGUAAUGCAUAAUAUAUAAUUGCUAAAGUCAUAAAAUAUCUGGUCUCUAAGCAAGUUAUAUUUAUCUAAUGACUGUCCAAAGAUCUUUAAAUUACUGUUUAAUAACUAUCCUGCUCUCUUAUUAAGGAAAAACCAUACAUGGUGUGAUAUUGUACUAUCGUUUAUUAUUUUUCUUCAGACACAGACAUGACACCAUAACAUUAAGAAGUCAUGUCUUUGGCCAUAUUCAAAUAAAUAAAAUACACUAAAAGCCGCAAUCUGUGAAAGAUCGCAGGGUUUCCACAAGAAAAUGAAAAUGUAGAUGCAGACCUCUGAUUUGUUCAGUCCCGUCAUGAACCCUUUGCAGUCUGCUCCGCAUGAGACACAAAGGGCUUUUGUGACGCAUAUGCUGUGCAUCACAAAUGGAGAGCCCCAGCCAAAGAAAAUAUACAGUUACCAGAAGAAUAAACCCAGGAUGAAAAGCACAGAGGUAGCAUCAAUAGACGUCUAAUGUGCCAUUGGCCCCAUCUGGUUAGAAUCACAUCAUCAAAAUUAGAACUGGAGUAGACCUUCCAGGUCAUCCCUGGAACACCUUGCCAACACAACAAUCAUCUUUUUGAGGACCAGGUCCGGUUCAAUAUCAUGUGUCUCAAGAGACAAGAAUUCCACGGAUUCUGUGGGCGAGAUAUUUACCAUAUUUAAAGAGACAACUGUAGUCAUAGUAGAGAUUUCAGUCAGUAAAAUAAUUGCAUUCAGCCUUUGAAAUAUAAGGCAUUGGCUUUUUUUUUUUUAAGUAGGUAUUUUCUCCAUAGAAAACAAAGAGCUUGGUGCCUGAAGAAUCACAAAUGGAACAGACACAAGAAUUGCUACAAGUGGCACACAGAUCUAAGGGAACCUCAGAACCAUGUCAAAGGACCUCACAGAAUCAGUCCAAAGAAAGUCUAUGUCAGUGUGCAGUCUUCUUCUAUGAUAAGGAAGGGGCUGAUGCAGGAGCUUGCUCAGGGGCUGGAAAAAGACAUAACCAGAGGUACAGGCUCUCACUCUAGUGAAAGCUUUGGUUCAAAUGAGGCCUUACAUGGUGGCUCGGUAUAUGUGAGACAUAUACAACAUAGAAACAGCAGCCUUUCUGAGGGAGACGUGACGUGGGAUCAAAUCAGUAAUACGGAAGCUCUGAUGCCCAAACCUACCUAUUUCAAUGGAGGACCUUGCUAUACUUCUGUGGAACCCCCAGAGUUGAUUUAAAACACGAAUUUGCAACAGUAGAGUUACUAAUCAAUUAUGUUGAGUAUUCUGUGGUGGGACACAUCAAAAUGGAGGAGGUAUUGCUCUUUAAUAAAGAAUUCUACCCAUGGAACUCA
This 1371-nucleotide long non-coding RNA is filed under the name Felis catus (domestic cat). Its description in RNAcentral is "lncRNA (ENSFCAG00000050604.1)". Lineage: Eukaryota; Metazoa; Chordata; Mammalia; Carnivora; Felidae. The record is from RNAcentral.